Molecule: ribosomal RNA, 686 nt
Filed under: uncultured bacterium
Lineage: Bacteria
Description: bacterial SSU rRNA
Rfam family: Bacterial small subunit ribosomal RNA
Source: RNAcentral
ACACAUGCAAGUCGAACGGAGAUUAUUUCGAUAAUCUUAGUGGCGAACGGGUGAGUAACGCGUGGGCAACCUGCCCUCUAGAUGGGGACAACAUCCCGAAAGGGGUGCUAAUACCGAAUGUGACAGCAAUCUCGCAUGAGGAUGCUGUGAAAGAUGGCCUCUAUUUAUAAGCUAUCGCUAGAGGAUGGGCCUGCGUCUGAUUAGCUAGUUGGUGGGGUAACGGCCUACCAAGGCGAUGAUCAGUAGCCGGUCUGAGAGGAUGAACGGCCACAUUGGGACUGAGACACGGCCCAGACUCCUACGGGAGGCAGCAGUGGGGAAUCUUCCGCAAUGGGCGAAAGCCUGACGGAGCAAUGCCGCGUGAGUGAUGAAGGAAUUCGUUCCGUAAAGCUCUUUUGUUUAUGACGAAUGUGCAGAUUGUGAAUAAUGAUUUGUAAUGACGGUAGUAAACGAAUAAGCCACGGCUAACUACGUGCCAGCAGCCGCGGUAAUACGUAGGUGGCGAGCGUUGUCCGGAAUUAUUGGGCGUAAAGAGCAUGUAGGCGGUUUUUUAAGUCUGGAGUGAAAAUGCGGGGCUCAACCCCGUAUGGCUCUGGAUACUGGAAGACUUGAGUGCAGGAGAGGAAAGGGGAAUUCCCAGUGUAGCGGUGAAAUGCGUAGAUAUUGGGAGGAACACCAGUGGCGAA